GCCCUGCGACGCCCGCGUCGCCACGCUGCUACGCGCCUCCGGUCGGUUCGCCGGCAAGGUUCACGACUCCGGCCAGCUGCUUCUCGUCGCCUGGUCGCCGGCCGCCUCGCCAGGUACUUCUUUUGGCCGGAAGGGUUUCUAAGAGGAAGCAUCAAGAACAGUUCCAGGAUGAGCAAUCAUUUGGUUUCCGGCUUGACUUCUCAUCAGAGAUGAAUAAUUAGCAGCGAGUGAUUAACAUUCCAACAUACAACUCACAUCUCGAAGG
Schistocerca piceifrons (Central American locust) is the source of this 265-nucleotide long non-coding RNA. RefSeq lists it as uncharacterized. The transcript has 3 exons. NCBI's taxonomy places the organism in Eukaryota, Metazoa, Arthropoda, Insecta, Orthoptera, Acrididae. The record is from RefSeq and is a predicted model, not a curated record.